This 253-nucleotide ribosomal RNA is filed under the name uncultured bacterium. RNAcentral describes it as "partial 16S ribosomal RNA". It matches the Rfam family "Bacterial small subunit ribosomal RNA", at positions 524 to 776 of the family's 1533-position model. The record is from RNAcentral.
UACGUAGGGUGCAAGCGUUAAUCGGAAUUACUGGGCGUAAAGCGUGCGCAGGCGGUUGGGCAAGACAGAUGUGAAAUCCCCGAGCUUAACUUGGGAACUGCAUUUGAAACUGGCAAGCUAGAGUCUUGUAGAGGGGGGUAGAAUUCCAGGUGUAGCGGUGAAAUGCGUAGAGAUCUGGAGGAAUACCGGUGGCGAAGGCGGCCCCCUGGACAAAGACUGACGCUCAGGUGCGAAAGCGUGGGGAGCAAACAGG